This is a long non-coding RNA of Aricia agestis (brown argus), 175 nucleotides long. RefSeq lists it as uncharacterized. NCBI's taxonomy places the organism in Eukaryota, Metazoa, Arthropoda, Insecta, Lepidoptera, Lycaenidae. The record is from RefSeq and is a predicted model, not a curated record. The transcript is spliced from 2 exons.
GGCUUGCGUGCCAAAAUUUUCUUAGUGGGAAGUGCCCGACAAAAAGUUCCAUAGGUCUCUUUCGAGGUCCAUCUAAGGAGAGGCUGACUACUGGUAGCUAUUUGGCCGAGAACUGGGUUGUGACGGCUGAGUACUGGGGAAAUAUGCCUUAUUUUGAAAAAUAAUUUAUUUUCAA